Molecule: non-coding RNA, 110 nt
Organism: Acanthosepion pharaonis
Lineage: Eukaryota; Metazoa; Mollusca; Cephalopoda; Sepiida; Sepiidae
Source: the annotation of a GenBank genome assembly
GGCAAUAUCAUGUUGAAAUACUGGUUCUUGUACAAUCACCAAAGUUAAGCAACAUCAAGCCUGGUCAGUACCUAGACGGGUGACCACUUGUGAAUACCAGGUACUGCAAU